RNAcentral lists this ribosomal RNA (253 nucleotides) under uncultured bacterium. RNAcentral describes it as "partial 16S ribosomal RNA". It matches the Rfam family "Bacterial small subunit ribosomal RNA", at positions 524 to 776 of the family's 1533-position model. The record is from RNAcentral.
UACGUAGGGGGCAAGCGUUGUCCGGAAUUAUUGGGCGUAAAGAGCGCGUAGGCGGUCCGAUAAGUCCGCUGUGAAAGUCGGGGGCUCAACCCUCGGAAGCCGGUGGAUACUGUCGAGCUAGAGUACGGAAGAGGCGAGUGGAAUUCCUGGUGUAGCGGUGAAAUGCGCAGAUAUCAGGAGGAACACCAAUUGCGAAGGCAGCUCGCUGGGACGUUACUGACGCUGAGACGCGAAAGCGUGGGGAGCAAACAGG